RNAcentral lists this ribosomal RNA (497 nucleotides) under uncultured bacterium. RNAcentral's name for it is "partial 16S ribosomal RNA". It matches the Rfam family "Bacterial small subunit ribosomal RNA", at positions 28 to 507 of the family's 1533-position model. The record is from RNAcentral.
GAUGAACGCUGGCGGCGUGCCUAAUACAUGCAAGUCGAGCGAACGGACGAGAAGCUUGCUUCUCUGAUGUUAGCGGCGGACGGGUGAGUAACACGUGGAUAACCUACCUAUAAGACUGGGAUAACUUCGGGAAACCGGAGCUAAUACCGGAUGAUAUUUUGAACCGCAUGGUUCAAUAGUGAAAGACGGUCUUGCUGUCACUUAUAGAUGGAUCCGCGCUGCAUUAGCUAGUUGGUAAGGUAACGGCUUACCAAGGCAACGAUGCAUAGCCGACCUGAGAGGGUGAUCGGCCACACUGGAACUGAGACACGGUCCAGACUCCUACGGGAGGCAGCAGUAGGGAAUCUUCCGCAAAGGGCGAAAGCCUGACGGAGCAACGCCGCGUGAGUGAUGAAGGUCUUCGGAUCGUAAAACUCUGUUAUUAGGGAAGAACAUAUGUGUAAGUAACUGUGCACAUCUUGACGGUACCUAAUCAGAAAGCCACGGCUAACUACGUG